Molecule: ribosomal RNA, 413 nt
Filed under: Alexandrium tamarense
Lineage: Eukaryota; Dinophyceae; Gonyaulacales; Pyrocystaceae
Description: partial Eukaryotic small subunit ribosomal RNA
Rfam family: Eukaryotic small subunit ribosomal RNA
Source: RNAcentral
GCGUGGUUCACGAUCCGGAUCGUUUACUUUGAAAAAAUUCGAGUGUUCAUAGCAGGCUUACGCCGUGAAGAUCGCAGCAUGGAAUAAUAACAUAGGACUUGGUGUUCUAUUUUGUUGGUUCUGGAACCUAAGUAAUGAUUGAUAGGGACAGUUGGGGGUGCUGCUAUAGACUGGCCAGAGGUGAAAUUCUAAGACUCAGUCUAGAGCAACUUAUGCGAAAGCAUUCACCAAGGAUGUCUUCUUUAAUCAAGAACGAAAGUUGGGGGAUCGAAGACGAUCAGAUACCGUCGUAGUCUCAACCAUAAACUAUGCCGACUAGGGAUUGGGCCGCGUUGAUUUUCAGGACCGGCUCAGCACCUUAUGAGAAAUCAAAGUCUUUGGGUUCCGGGGGGAGUAUGGUCGCAAGGCUGAAA